Molecule: long non-coding RNA, 419 nt
Filed under: Sorghum bicolor (sorghum)
Lineage: Eukaryota; Viridiplantae; Streptophyta; Magnoliopsida; Poales; Poaceae
Description: long non-coding RNA (SBIC_LNC014979)
Source: RNAcentral
ACGGGUGCGGGUGAGACGCGGCUGCGGCGGGUGCGGCUACGCGCCGCGGCCGAUGCGGCGGAGGCACAGAGCGCACGCGGCGGCCGCGGCUCGCUGGCGGCGACGCGGCGAGUGCGGCCGGCGUGGGGGAGUCGAGGCGGCGUUGGGAGGCGGGGGGAGUCGAGGCGGCCGGGGCGUCGGGGUGGGUCACCCGAGGCGGUGGGGCAGAGGGCGAGGGUGAGAGGGAGGUGGAGGGGCAGGGGCCGGUGGGCCGCCUGCCCAGCUGGGCCGGCCCACCAGCGGCCAAUUUAGGGUUUUUUCUUAUUUUUUAUUUUUCUCAUAUGAUGUAUAAAUAUAUUAUUAAUUAUUAAUUGUCCUAAAUAAUUAUUAAUUGUUCUAAAUAAAUGUAUAUGAUGUAUUAUUGAUUAUUAAUUGUCCUA